RNAcentral lists this ribosomal RNA (437 nucleotides) under uncultured Oscillospiraceae bacterium. RNAcentral's name for it is "bacterial SSU rRNA". It matches the Rfam family "Bacterial small subunit ribosomal RNA", at positions 341 to 792 of the family's 1533-position model. The record is from RNAcentral. Lineage: Bacteria; Bacillati; Bacillota; Clostridia; Eubacteriales; Oscillospiraceae.
ACGGAAGGCAGCAGUGGGGAAUAUUGGGCAAUGGGCGAAGGCCUGACCCAGCAACGCCGCGUGAAGGAAGAAGGUCUUCGGAUUGUAAACUUCUUUUAUGAGGGACGAAGGACGUGACGGUACCUCAUGAAUAAGCCACGGCUAACUACGUGCCAGCAGCCGCGGUAAUACGUAGGUGGCAAGCGUUAUCCGGAUUUACUGGGUGUAAAGGGCGCGUAGGCGGGAAGGCAAGUCAGAUGUGAAAUCCAUGGGCUUAACUCAUGAACUGCAUUUGAAACUGUCUUUCUUGAGUGCUGGAGAGGUAGACGGAAUUCCUUGUGUAGCGGUGAAAUGCGUAGAUAUAAGGAAGAACACCAGUGGCGAAGGCGGUCUACUGGACAGUAACUGACGCUGAGGCGCGAAAGCGUGGGGAGCAAACAGGAUUAGAUACCCUGGUA